AUUAAACGAGAGUUUGAUCCUGGCUCAGGACGAACGCUGGCGGCGUGCCUAACACAUGCAAGUCGAACGAUCUACAUUUAUGUAGAUAGUGGCGGACGGGUGAGUAACGCGUGAGCAAUCUGCCCUAUACAGAGGAAUAGCCUCGGGAAACCGGGA
RNAcentral lists this ribosomal RNA (156 nucleotides) under Sedimentibacter hydroxybenzoicus DSM 7310. Its description in RNAcentral is "partial 16S ribosomal RNA". It matches the Rfam family "Bacterial small subunit ribosomal RNA", at positions 1 to 162 of the family's 1533-position model. Lineage: Bacteria; Bacillati; Bacillota; Tissierellia. The record is from RNAcentral.